AUAAAAAGCUACUGUACACUCUUCAUUUCCAACCACCACCUCUUCCUAUCUUCUCCCGCCCCUCUCCUUCCACACAUCAACUACCAGCAACAAAAUUAACGAAUUCCCACUUCACAGGUUUGGAUUUGUAAACGUUGAGGGUUCCGAUUUGUAAACAUAGGCUUCUAUUGGAAACUAGGGUUCCGAUUUGAAAAGGAUUUUGCUAUCAGCAAGUAUCAACCGAUUCAUCCUUCACAUCUCCAUCCCUCUGCUAUAUUUUUUUGGCCAAACCGGGGUGAAAAGCGCAGAGGCGGAGGUUAUAAACAACGAGGUUGCUGCCGAUGACGGGAGACCUUCAUCUCCGCCAGAUGGUGAGGAGGAGUUCAUUGAUGAUGAUGGGACUGUGUACAAGUGGGACAAGACGCUUAGAGCCUGGGUUCCUCAGCCAAGAUGACUGAUGGUCGAGCAGCGACCCCGGCGGGACUUAUUUCAGCAUCAAUAGCACAUGCUUUUGCACUAUUUGUUGCAGUUUCGGUUGGUGCUAACAUAUCAUGGGGUCAUGUGAACCCAACUGUGACAUUCGGCUUGUUUGUUGGUGGCCACAUUUCGCUUUUGAGGAGUGUCUUGUAUUGGAUUGCUCAGUUGACAAUUUCGAUGGAGAUUUGGGAUGAGUCAAAAUAAGAGAGAAAGCUUAUGGAUGGUAAUGAUGGACUGAUAAAAGGAGAGAGCAAUAAAGCUAGAGUGUGCAAUGUAAACCAAGUGUUUGUCAUUAGGCUUGAUCCGUCAAUCAUCAACGGAGCCAAUAACGGUAGACUUCGUGUCGACAAUUUUCAUCUUUCAAACCCUAAAUUAGGUACAACAACAAUACGCUGAACUUUGGAUUGGAACUCAUGCCUCCGGUUUGUCAUAUAUAGUCGGGGAAAAGGUGAUUGCUCUCCGGAAUUAUAGACUCUUGCUGUUUGAGAUUGUCUAAUCCUAAGGAUUUUAAAAAGCAUUUCAUCUGCUUGACAAAAUGCAUCCAUUAAUUAAUAUAGCUGGAACAAUUUAUAGCAAGACUCAGGAUGGGUUUUUGAUGUAUCAAACAAGGCAAGUGUUGCUACGUCUUUUUGGUGAUAAGUUGGAUGUGGCGGUAAUCAUGAGCUUUCACGUGGAAGAGACGGGUCGGCUUCUCAAGGAGGCGGAUGUUGCGCUCAAAAACUUUUUGGUGGUGACUACACAAGUAACUCUUUUCUGAUUAAAUGGCCCGUUGAAAUUUGGACAUAGGUUAAUGCGUAAGUAAAAGUCGUCAAAAAUCGAGCGUUACAGAUUUUAACAUCCCCGCGACCCGUUGCGGAGUGCAGACAUUACCACUAGUAUAUGUGUAUGAAAAAUCAUUAUUGUAGGGACGAGAGUGUGGUACAAGCAACGGUAGCAGUGCUGGGAGAUUUUGCAGUUGCAUCUGGUCCAAACGUGAAGAUGUUUAGCGAAGAUUUGGCCGUUUGUAGUGCAUUUGCUGCUGGUAUACCUUCUGCUACCGUUAGUGUUGGACUGUUGGUGACAGAUCCAAACAAAGAUAAAGAAGUUACAUAUGUACACUUGCAUAUAUUUUUAAGCUUCUAUCAUUUUUGUUAAGUUAAAACUAUUUUUUGUUACGCAAUUUCUACGGUUCAGGUUGCUAGUAUGGAUUGAAGACGUCGGUUUAAGUUCAAAGUAUGAAGACAUCGGUUCAAGAAGCUAUUCUAUAUUACUUUCACCUUUAGAGUUAUAUGUAUUUGUGUUAAAACUUUUGUAAUGUUGUGUUACUUUGAAACCUUUGUAUUUUAUAUUCUUGGGUUAUAUUAUAUUGGUUCUUAUUUAA
Molecule: long non-coding RNA, 1816 nt
Organism: Helianthus annuus (common sunflower)
Lineage: Eukaryota; Viridiplantae; Streptophyta; Magnoliopsida; Asterales; Asteraceae
Exons: 8
Source: RefSeq, a predicted model, not a curated record